Molecule: ribosomal RNA, 178 nt
Filed under: uncultured bacterium
Lineage: Bacteria
Description: partial 16S ribosomal RNA
Rfam family: Bacterial small subunit ribosomal RNA
Source: RNAcentral
GACUCCAUGAAGCUGGAUUCGCUAGUAAUCGCGCAUCAGCCACGGCGCGGUGAAUACGUUCCCGGGCCUUGUACACACCGCCCGUCAAGCCAUGGAAGCCGGGGGUGCCUGAAGUGCGCUGCCGCAAGGAGCGCCCUAGGGUAAAACCGGUGACUGGGCUAAGUCGUAACAAGGUAUC